Molecule: ribosomal RNA, 475 nt
Filed under: Micrococcineae bacterium CL5.10
Lineage: Bacteria; Bacillati; Actinomycetota; Actinomycetes; Micrococcales
Description: bacterial SSU rRNA
Rfam family: Bacterial small subunit ribosomal RNA
Source: RNAcentral
CCCUGGCUCAGGACGAACGCUGGCGGCGUGCUUAACACAUGCAAGUCGAACGGUGAUGGCCAGCUUGCUGGUCUGAUCAGUGGCGAACGGGUGAGUAACACGUGAGCAACCUACCCCAGACUCUGGAAUAACCAUGGGAAACGAUGGCUAAUACCGGAUACGAGACACACACGCAUGUGUGGUGUCUGGAAAGAUUUAUCGGUCUGGGAUGGGCUCGCGGCCUAUCAGCUUGUUGGUGGGGUAGUGGCCUACCAAGGCGACGACGGGUAGCCGGCCUGAGAGGGCGACCGGCCACACUGGGACUGAGAUACGGCCCAGACUCCUACGGGAGGCAGCAGUGGGGAAUAUUGCACAAUGGGCGCAAGCCUGAUGCAGCGACGCCGCGUGAGGGAUGACGGCCUUCGGGUUGUAAACCUCUUUCAGCAGGGAAGAAGCGCAAGUGACGGUACCUGCAGAAGAAGGCGCCGGCUAACUA